This is a long non-coding RNA of Pristis pectinata (smalltooth sawfish), 2942 nucleotides long. RefSeq lists it as uncharacterized. The transcript is spliced from 3 exons. Lineage: Eukaryota; Metazoa; Chordata; Chondrichthyes; Rhinopristiformes; Pristidae. The record is from RefSeq and is a predicted model, not a curated record.
GAGAAUGCUGAGAAAGAGGGCACGGCGAAGAGUUGUUGUUACCCUAGUUCCAAGAAAGUCUUCUUACGCAGAAAACCAAAGAAUCUGGGAGAAAUAUCCCUAACACCAGCUCUGUCUGGAUUCACUGGGCAACGAUGCUGGAGAUGGUCUUGUCUGAACCUACUUCCCUGUGAUGCUGCUGCAAGCAAUUGUUUCCAUGGGAACUGUACCUCGCCAUAUUUGUGCACAUGACGAUAAACUCAACUUGACGCGAGUUCCUUCAGGUGCUCCUGUUUCCUCCCAGAUGUGCAGAUUGAUACACGGUUGAAAGUAUCCUGACUGGUUGCAUCAUGACCUGGUACACCAAUUCCAAUGCACAGGAACCCAAGAGGCUGCAGAAAAUAGUGGACACAGCCCGGUCCAUCUAAGGCAUGGCCCUCCCCACCAUUGACAUCAUCUACAGGAGGCCGUGCCUCAAGAAGGUGGCAUCUAUCAUCAAGGAUCCCCACCAUCCGGGUCAUGCCUUCUUCUCACUGCUACCAUGAGGCAGGAGGUAAAGAAUCCCAAAGUCCCUCAUGGCAGGCUGAUCCAAAAGAUUAGGAUGCAUGGGAUCCAGAGUUACUUGGUAGUUUGGAUUCAGAAUGGGCUUGCCCAUAGAAGACAGAGGGUGGUGGUGGAGGGGUGUUAUUCUGGCUGGAGGUCCGUGACCAGUGGUGUUUUGCCGGGAUCGGUGCUGGGGCCUCUGUUGUUUGUGAUGUAUAGAAAUGAUUUGGAUGAAAAUGUAGUUCAGAAUCAGAUUUAUGAUCACAGACUUACAUGACAUGAAAUUUGAUGUUUUGCGGCAGCAGUACAGUGCAAAAACAUAAAAUUAUAAAUUACAGUCCUGUAAUUAGUACAGGACUGUUCAGAAAUCUGAUGGCGGAGGAGAAGAAGCUGUUUCUUCUUCAGGGUGGGUCUUCAGGCUCCUGUACCUCCUCCCCGAUGGUAGUAACGAGAAGAGGGCAUGACCUGGGUGGUGAAGGUCCUUAGUAGAACAUAGAACAUUGCAGCAGCACAGUACAGGCCCUUCAGCCCACGAUGUUGUGCCAACCUUUUAACCAACUCUAAGAUCAAUCUAACCAUUCCCUCCCACAUACCCCUCCAUUUUUCUAUCAUCCAUGUGCCUAUCUAAGAGUCAAAUGUCCCUAAUGUAUCUGCCUCUACUAGCACCCCAGGCAGUGUGUUCCACACACCCACCACUCUGUGUAGGAAAAACUCUGAUGUCCCCCCUGUACUUUCCUUUAAUCACCUUAAAAUUAUGCCCCCUCGUGUUAGCCAUUUCUGCCCUGAGAAAAAGUCUUUGACUGUCCACUCGAUCUAUGCUUCUUAUCAUCUUGCACACCUCUGUCAGGUCACCUCUCAUCCUCGUUCACUCCAAAGAGAAAAGCCCUAGCUCACUCAGCCUAUCUUCAUAAGACAUGAUCUCCAAUCGAGGCAGCAUCCUGGUAAACCUUCUCUGCAUCCUUUCUAAAGCUUCCACAUCCUUCCUAUAGUGAGGCGACCAGAACUGAACACAAUAUUCUAAUUGUGAUCUAACCAGGGUUUUAUAGAGCUGCAACAUUACCUGGCAGCUCUUGAACUCAAUCCCCCGACUAAUGAAGGCCAACACGCCAUGUGCCUUCUUAACAACCCUAUCAACUUGUGCAGCAACUUUGAGGGAUCUAUGGACAUGGACCUCAAGAUCUUUCUGUUCCUCCACAGUACUAAGAAUCCUGCCAUUAACCCUUUACUCUGCCUUCAAAUUCAACCUUCCAAAGAGAAUCACUUCACACCUCUCUGGGUUGAAUUUCAUCUGCCACUUCUCAGCCCUGCUUUGUAUCCUAUUAAUGUCCUGUAGUAACCCUCGACAACCUUCUACACUAUCCCCAACACCACCAACCUUCGUGCCAUCUGCAAACUUACGAACCCACCCUUCCACUUCCUCAUCCAAGUCAUUUAUAAAAAUCACAAAGAGCAGGGGUCCCAGUAGAGAUCCCUGUGGAACACCACUGGUCACCAACCUCCAGCCAGAAUACGCUCCAUCUACAACCACCUUCUCUGCCUUCUAUGGGCAAGCCAAUUCCGAAUCCACACAUCCAAGUUUCCCUGGAUCCCAUGUCUCCCGACCUUCUGAAUGAGCUUAUCAUGGGGAACCUUAUCAAAUGCUUUACUAAAGUCCAUAUACACCACAUCCACUGCUCUACCCUCAUCAAUGUGCUUUGUCACAUCUUCAAAGAAUUCAAUCAGGCUCGUGAGGCAUGACCUGCUGCUCACAAAACCAUGCUGACUGUCCCUAAUCAGACUAUGCUUCUCCAAAUGCUCAUAAAUCCUGUCCCUAAGAAACUUCUCCAAUAAUUUGCCCACCACUGAAGUAAGACUCACCAGUCUAUAAUGCCCAGCAUUUCCCUCCAUCCUUUCUUGAACAAAAGAAUAACAUUGCCACCCUCCAAUCAUCUGGCACUACUCCUGUGGCCAGUGAGAACGCAAAAAUCAUCACCAAGGGCUCAGAAAUCUGUUCCCUCGCUUCUUGUAGUAUCCUGGGGACGGGCCUGGGGACUUAUCUAUCCAAAUGUUUUUCAAAAGUUCCAGCACAUCCUCCUUCUUAACAUCGACAUGUUCUAGCUUAUCAGCCCACUUUAAGCUGUCCUCACAAACAUCAAGUUCUCUCUCACAGGUGAAUACUGAAGCAACGUAUUCAUUAAGGACCUCCCCUACCUCUUCUGACUCCAGGCACAUGUUUCCUCCCCUAUACCUAAUCGGUCCUACCUUCACUCUAGUGAAGGAUAAUGGAUGCCUCCAUCUUGAGGCACCGCCUCUUGAAGAUGUCCUCAAUGGUGGGGAUUAUUGUGCCCGUGAUGGAGCUGGGUGGGUGAUGGUGAUGGGUGGAUUAGUAAGUUUGCAGACACAACAAAGAUUGGUGGAGUUAUGGAUAGCGAAGAAGGUUG